Molecule: transfer RNA, 87 nt
Filed under: Armatimonadota bacterium
Lineage: Bacteria; Bacillati; Armatimonadota
Rfam family: tRNA
About the family: Transfer RNA (tRNA) molecules are approximately 80 nucleotides in length.
Source: Rfam by way of RNAcentral
GGAGAGGUGAGCGGAAUGGUAUCGCAACCGCCUUGAAAGCGGUCUCACCUGGGAACGGGUGUGCGGGUUCGAGUCCUGUCCUCUCCG